Long non-coding RNA from Rhododendron vialii, 1520 nucleotides. RefSeq lists it as uncharacterized. NCBI's taxonomy places the organism in Eukaryota, Viridiplantae, Streptophyta, Magnoliopsida, Ericales, Ericaceae. The transcript is spliced from 2 exons. The record is from RefSeq and is a predicted model, not a curated record.
AGGGAAAUCCAGUACAACAGAACUGGUGGGCGCACAGUAGAUCCUCUGCCGCACUUUGGAACUUGAUCAGGCUGCUAAGGCCAGGGUAGAUGCCAAAGCACGGUUGACUUUGGGAAUGUUGGCAAGGUCUUGGAUCUACCUGUUAGUGCGUAGUGGCCUCGUCCUACGAGACCAGUGCAGGAAGGUCAUUAUAGGUCAAGAUUUUCUUCUUGAUAGUCGCAAUUGUCUUCGGGAAUUGGAUACGGGUAUGAAGUUAACGGAAAUUCUAAUCACAAGGAAGAUUUGCAGGGAAUCACGCAAGAAAAAACUCGUUUGGACCCAUUCCGGGUCUCACAAAAAUCUUGCAAAAUAUCCAUAAAUUUUUAAAUAUUAUUUUAUGGGGUCGUGUAAAAAAUCAACUCCAACAGACGUCGGUAAGUAUCAGUUUGCCCUUAUAAAUCCAAAAUAAUACAGCUGAUUUUUUAUAAGAUCCCAUAAAAUAAUAUUAAAAAAUUUAUCGAUAUUUUUCUAAAUUUUUUGGGAUAGCCUAAAUGCGUUUUUUCUUACGUAAUUCUCUAUAAAUCUUCUUUGCGAAUAGCAGGUCUCUGAAGUUAAAGUGAAACUACUGUUGAUAAUUACCUUGGCAUACUUGAAACCCAUAUGCUUCUGAGGUUUGUCUUCGUGUUCAGGACGUUGAUGUUCUGAUGGUCAAUGCGCCAGAUCCACUUUCCCUGUCCAAAUGCAUGUCUACUUCUCCAAUGCCUGAACCUCAUCAACAUACUUCUUCCGUCUCUAAAUUAGUGUUCAGCGCUCAAAUCUAAACCUUAUAAAAGAUGCAUUUAUUUCGUUAAUAAAUUUAAUUUCUUUCACAAUUAAAAGAACUCAUUGCUAUUUAUUGAUUUGUGAAAAAAAUUGAUUUUUUUUUAACAAACCAAAUGCAUCUUUUUAAAGACCUAGGUUUGUGUGCCGGACACUUAUUUAGGGACUGAGGGAGUAGCUUUGAGGAUUCCUCGAUCGAUCGGGUUGGAGAUGUUCUUUAGGACACUGCUUUGGACCUUGAAAUUUGCAGUCUAAGAGAAUUAUGGCUUUCCGGUGAUACCGAUUAGAGGUAUGUGGCCCUAUAUCUGUUAAGAUCUGUGCAAUCAGAAAGGACGAAGAUAGACAACGUCAAAGUUGGUGGUCGUAGUGAUGAGGCUACGCCAAACCCCACUCUAGUCGUAGUGAUGAGGACGCAAAACCCCACUCGAAAAAAGCGUAAACGGGAAAGAGAUAUUGGAGACAGCUGUGGUGACCCUCAAAAUUACUGUAUCCCUCAACACCAUGCUUUAUAUUGAUUUUUCUGUCUCUUGUCCUUUAUCCUUGUUUUGCAGGGAUCGGUGUGUUUCGGCAUUAAGGGCAUGCUUGUGUUAUUCUUUUGGGUUUUGUGAGGGUGUUUCGAUUGAUCUUGUUUGUUUAAUUCGGUUUUGUUGUGUCUUCGUUUUGAUUUGUUUUGCUAUAUUGUUUGUAUGGUUGGUAUUCGUGUUGUUUAUUUCUAUCUAUGA